AACGACGCCUAAAAAGGUGUGAUUUGAGAACUGGCAACCCCGAUAAAGCAGCUAAUGACGCAUGCUUAGGUAACUAUUUGAAUUCACGCGCCUUUUCAAUCUUAUCUCCUUUUCAAAUUACAAUCGAUUAAGCACCCUACUGACUCAUCUCUUCAAUCUUUUAAUAAAAUCGUUAUCUCCAUAAAUAACCAAAGGCUUAUUAUAGUUUCAACCCUUCGUUUGAAAAUCAUCGCAUAACUUCGUUUGGAACCGAAGCUAUAUAUUUAUGAAUUGAUUCUUAAUCCAACCAGAUUUUUGGAAAAUCCAAGAUUUUGGUGCAAGAAAGUGUCAAAGAUAAAGAAAUAAAAACAAACUAUUUGUGGGAUUUUGUGAAGUCAUAAAAGACAUAAAGUAGUUGAUCCUGGGCACGAAUCGCUUCCUUUAAAAUCUGAAUAGACUUCAAAGUGCUUGUAUGGGUUCCUGUUAAAUGACGAUCAAGUACUUGUUAAGAAACAUUGAAAGGCAUCUUUUUCUAAAUAAGGCUAUUAAGGGUGGCUUUCGCUUCAAUCCAGGUUUCAGUACUUGACAUAAGACAAAAAGUGGAAUGAAGUACUUGUGAGACCAAUGUGGCCUUUUAAACAAGUAGGUGUGAAUCAUAUUCAGUGACAUGUUGAAAUUAAAUAACUAGAAAUCUUAUUUAAAAAUUAAAAUUGGACCCUUCGGGAAGAAAAGUCUUGGUGAUAGGCAGUUUCAUAAGGAUCUCUCACAAGAAUAGGAGAUUUCAAGGUACAUCCACAAUAGUGGUUUCGUUAAUUCAAGCUGAAAGCUAGAACAUUUAUUUGUUCACUGUCAAUACAUUAUAGGUAUUGAAUUUUUGGUUUCACUUAGCACGUAGUGACACAAAAGUAAGAUCAUAAACACAGAAGUUGUGUAACCAUAAACCUCAGUGGUAGUGNGUUGUGUAACCAUAAACCUCAAUGGUAGUGUUGAGAGUCUCAAGGGUUACAAUUAUGAAAUGAAUGAUUAAUGGAGAAUAAGAUUAACGGUGAUAAAGAACGAAUGUACCUCUGCUAUAAAAUAGGACCAAGCAGGAAAUGUCUUGACUCAUGUUAGAGUAGAGUUAGGUAGCUCAUGAUGAGUGUGCGUUUGUCAGCCUAAUUGGGAAGACAUGAUUAGUGUAUAUCAAGUCAUUAAGGCUUCACUCAACAAAUUUAGAGGCUU
RNAcentral lists this long non-coding RNA (1200 nucleotides) under Lactuca sativa (garden lettuce). Its description in RNAcentral is "long non-coding RNA (LSAT_LNC002705)". Lineage: Eukaryota; Viridiplantae; Streptophyta; Magnoliopsida; Asterales; Asteraceae. The record is from RNAcentral.